Non-coding RNA from Phalacrocorax carbo (great cormorant), 269 nucleotides. The record is from RefSeq and is a predicted model, not a curated record. Lineage: Eukaryota; Metazoa; Chordata; Aves; Suliformes; Phalacrocoracidae.
GCGGGGGCGGCGGCGGCGACGAGGCGGGGCCUGGUGCCCGUCCGCCCGCCCGCUCGUUCGCUUGCUCAGUGGCGGCGGCCGGCGAAGCGCGGGGACCGGCUGGAGGUAUCAGGAGUUGAAAUGACAUAGAAAAGUCUUCAAAAGUGCUGACUGCGAAAUGAGCUCCUUCCACUUGAUGCUGAAAGGAGGUAAACUGAAACUCCAAGAAUGAUGAUCAGCUCAUUGGCCAGUUACAGGAAAAACACAUACAAGGCAACUAAAUAAAGACU